Molecule: ribosomal RNA, 205 nt
Filed under: uncultured bacterium
Lineage: Bacteria
Description: partial 16S ribosomal RNA
Rfam family: Bacterial small subunit ribosomal RNA
Source: RNAcentral
GGACUGCAGUCUGCAACUCGACUGCACGAAGCUGGAAUCGCUAGUAAUCGCAGAUCAGAAUGCUGCGGUGAAUACGUUCCCGGGUCUUGUACACACCGCCCGUCACACCAUGGGAGUCAGUAACGCCCGAAGUCAGUGACCUAACCGCAAGGAGGAGCUGCCGAAGGCGGGACCGAUAACUGGGGUGAAGUCGUAACAAGGUAUC